This 227-nucleotide long non-coding RNA is filed under the name Numida meleagris (helmeted guineafowl). RNAcentral's name for it is "lncRNA (ENSNMEG00000018742.1)". The record is from RNAcentral. Lineage: Eukaryota; Metazoa; Chordata; Aves; Galliformes; Numididae.
CGUAACUACUCAACUUUCAUAAAACUGCUUUUGUCAUUGCUUGACGAGCGCUGCUCCACUGAGCAAGCAGGAAUUCACCUGCCUCAAGUGUUGGAUUCAGAAUGAGAUUCUGCUGGGAGAACCUGACAGGACAUUCAGGUAUAGACACAACAAGUAUCUAGAAAUCAAUGCGAUUGCAUAAACUUGCUAAAACAAGGGUGAACUCAGGGGCCUUUUUAGCUUUAGAU